Molecule: ribosomal RNA, 506 nt
Filed under: uncultured bacterium
Lineage: Bacteria
Description: partial 16S ribosomal RNA
Rfam family: Bacterial small subunit ribosomal RNA
Source: RNAcentral
AUUGAACGCUGGCGGCAGGCCUAACACAUGCAAGUCGGACAGUAGCACAGAGGAGCUUGCUCCUCGGGUGACGAGUGGCGGACGGGUGAGUAAUGUCUGGGGAUCUGCCCGAUAGAGGGGGAUAACCACUGGAAACGGUGGCUAAUACCGCAUAACGUCGCAAGACCAAAGAGGGGGACCUUCGGGCCUCUCACUAUCGGAUGAACCCAGAUGGGAUUAGCUAGUAGGCGGGGUAAUGGCCCACCUAGGCGACGAUCCCUAGCUGGUCUGAGAGGAUGAGCAGCCACACUGGAACUGAGACACGGUCCAGACUCCUACGGGAGGCAGCAGUGGGGAAUAUUGCACAAUGGGCGCAAGCCUGAUGCAGCCAUGCCGCGUGUAUGAAGAAGGCCUUCGGGUUGUAAAGUACUUUCAGCGGGGAGGAAGGCGAUGUGGUUAAUAACCUUGUCGAUUGACGUUACCCGCAGAAGAAGCACCGGCUAACUCCGUGCCAGCCGCCGCCGUAA